GUUAAGGAAAUUUAAGCAAUGUAUAGAAUCUAUUCUGACUUUUUAAUAUCAUGUAAUACUUAACAGACAUUAUUAUGUAAGAUGUUUUUCUGCCAAAGAAUGUAGGUUCGUGACAAGAACUUGCUAAGUCACCCUAGUCUUGCUGAUUUGUGUCAUGUGCCCACCCAGGACCAGAUGGUGUUCGAUAAGGAGGAACGGGCCUCAAGGCCUGCUAUGAUUGGUCCAAGCUUGGGUGGAGUAAUUCUUUGUAAUAUGCAAUAUUAGGGGCCAUCUAUGCCAUGUUCGUGAGGCAGAUGGAGCUCCCUUGUAAUUACUUAUAGAGGCGUGGCCUGUUGCCAAGGUAACGGCUGCAGUAACAGCAAAGAAAUUGAUAUCUGAAUUUGUGUGCAGGUAUGGCCUACAUGAAACGGUUGAGAGAGCAAAUAGCGUAUUAAAAAUGUCUAAGAUCUGUGAGCAAACAAAACUUACAUGGGUACAAGCUUUACCAGUAGAUCCUUUUGCAAUGAGGUAUA
Molecule: long non-coding RNA, 512 nt
Organism: Pseudophryne corroboree (corroboree frog)
Lineage: Eukaryota; Metazoa; Chordata; Amphibia; Anura; Myobatrachidae
Exons: 2
Source: RefSeq, a predicted model, not a curated record